CAGCAGCCACGGGAAUACGGAGGGUGCAAGCGUUAAUCGGAAUUACUGGGCGUAAAGCGCACGCAGGCGGUCUGACAAGUCAGAUGUGAAAUCCCCGGGCUUAACCUGGGAACUGCAUUUGAAACUGUCAGGCUGGAGUCUUGUAGAGGGGGGUGGAAUUCCAGGUGUAGCGGUGAAAUGCGUAGAGAUCUGGAGGAAUACCGGUGGCGAAGGCGGCCCCCUGGACAAAGACUGACGCUCAGGUGCGAAAGCGUGGGGAGCAAACAGGAUUAGAUACCCCGGUAGUCCCUGUCUCUUAUAC
Molecule: ribosomal RNA, 301 nt
Filed under: uncultured bacterium
Lineage: Bacteria
Description: partial 16S ribosomal RNA
Rfam family: Bacterial small subunit ribosomal RNA
Source: RNAcentral